RNAcentral lists this ribosomal RNA (427 nucleotides) under uncultured bacterium. Its description in RNAcentral is "partial 16S ribosomal RNA". It matches the Rfam family "Bacterial small subunit ribosomal RNA", at positions 354 to 796 of the family's 1533-position model. The record is from RNAcentral.
GUGGGGAAUAUUGGGCAAUGGGGGAAACCCUGACCCAGCAACGCCGCGUGAAGGAAGAAGGCUUUCGGGUUGUAAACUUCUUUUAUGAGGGACGAAGAAGUGACGGUACCUCAUGAAUAAGCCACGGCUAACUACGUGCCAGCAGCCGCGGUAAUACGUAGGUGGCAAGCGUUGUCCGGAUUUACUGGGUGUAAAGGGCGCGUAGGCGGGAUAGCAAGUCAGGUGUGAAAUCCGGGGGCUUAACCCUCGAACUGCACUUGAAACUGUUAUUCUUGAGUGAUGGAGAGGCAAGCGGAAUUCCUAGUGUAGCGGUGAAAUGCGUAGAUAUUAGGAGGAACACCAGUGGCGAAGGCGGCUUGCUGGACAUUAACUGACGCUGAGGCGCGAAAGCGUGGGGAGCAAACAGGAUUAGAAACCCCAGUAGUCC